UACGUAGGGUGCGAGCGUUGCCCGGAUUUAUUGGGCGUAAAGGGCGCGUAGGCGGCGUGUCAAGUCGAUUGUGAAAUCUCCGGGCUUAACUCGGAACGGCCAAUCGAUACUGACGUGCUAGAGUGCAGAAAGGGCAAUCGGAAUUCUUGGUGUAGCGGUGAAAUGCGUAGAUAUCAAGAGGAACACCUGAGGCGAAGGCGGGUUGCUAGGCUGACACUGACGCUGAGUGCGCGAAAGCCAGGGGAGCAAACGGG
RNAcentral lists this ribosomal RNA (254 nucleotides) under uncultured bacterium. Its description in RNAcentral is "partial 16S ribosomal RNA". It matches the Rfam family "Bacterial small subunit ribosomal RNA", at positions 524 to 776 of the family's 1533-position model. The record is from RNAcentral.